RNAcentral lists this ribosomal RNA (573 nucleotides) under Salmonella enterica. RNAcentral describes it as "partial 23S ribosomal RNA". It matches the Rfam family "Bacterial large subunit ribosomal RNA", at positions 1 to 605 of the family's 2925-position model. RNAcentral also lists the same sequence under 1 other name. Lineage: Bacteria; Pseudomonadati; Pseudomonadota; Gammaproteobacteria; Enterobacterales; Enterobacteriaceae. The record is from RNAcentral.
GGGUUGUGAGGUUAAGCGACUAAGCGUACACGGUGGAUGCCCUGGCAGUCAGAGGCGAUGAAGGGCGUGCUAAUCUGCGAUAAGCGCCGGUAAGGUGAUAUGAACCGUUAUAACCGGCGAUACCCGAAUGGGGAAACCCAGUGUGACUCGUCACACUAUCAUUAACUGAAUCCAUAGGUUAAUGAGGCGAACCGGGGGAACUGAAACAUCUAAGUACCCCGAGGAAAAGAAAUCAACCGAGAUUCCCCCAGUAGCGGCGAGCGAACGGGGAGGAGCCCAGAGCCUGAAUCAGCAUGUGUGUUAGUGGAAGCGUCUGGAAAGGCGCGCGAUACAGGGUGACAGCCCCGUACACAAAAGCGCAUGUGCUGUGAGCUCGAUGAGUAGGGCGGGACACGUGGUAUCCUGUCUGAAUAUGGGGGGACCAUCCUCCAAGGCUAAAUACUCCUGACUGACCGAUAGUGAACCAGUACCGUGAGGGAAAGGCGAAAAGAACCCCGGCGAGGGGAGUGAAAAAGAACCUGAAACCGUGUACGUACAAGCAGUGGGAGCACCCUUUGGGUGUGACUGCGUACC